This 465-nucleotide ribosomal RNA is filed under the name uncultured bacterium. RNAcentral describes it as "partial 16S ribosomal RNA". It matches the Rfam family "Bacterial small subunit ribosomal RNA", at positions 338 to 795 of the family's 1533-position model. The record is from RNAcentral.
CCUACGGGGGGCAGCAGUGGGGAAUAUUGCGCAAUGGGCGAAAGCCUGACGCAGCGACGCCGCGUGAGGGAUGAAGGUCUUCGGAUUGUAAAACUCUGUCAGCAGGGAAGAACGGCCACGGUGCUAUUCCGUAGUGCAUUUACGGUACCUGCAAAGGAAGCACCGGCUAACUCCGUCCCAGCAGCCGCGGUAAUACGGAGGGUGCGAGCGUUAAUCGGAAUUACUGGGCGUAAAGCGGUCGUAGGCGGUAUGUCAAGUCAAGGGUGAAAUCCCCGGGCUCAACGUUGGAACUGCCGUUGAAACUGGCAAACUGGAGUGUGUGAGAGGAUGGUGGAAUUCGAGGUGUAGGGGUGAAAUGCGUAGAUAUCUGGAGGAACAUCGGUGGCGAAGGCGGCGAUCUGGCACAUGACUGACGCUGAGGAGCGAAAGCGUGGGUAGCAAACAGGAUUAGAUACCCCUGUAGUC